This 301-nucleotide ribosomal RNA is filed under the name uncultured bacterium. RNAcentral's name for it is "partial 16S ribosomal RNA". It matches the Rfam family "Bacterial small subunit ribosomal RNA", at positions 509 to 807 of the family's 1533-position model. The record is from RNAcentral.
CAGUCGCCACGGUAAUACGAAGGGGGCUAGCGUUGCUCGGAAUGACUGGGCGUAAAGGGCGCGUAGGCGGCGAUCAAAGUCAGGCGUGAAAUUCCUGGGCUCAACCUGGGGGCUGCGCUUGAUACUUGGUUGCUUGAGUGGGGAAGAGGGUCGUGGAAUUCCCAGUGUAGAGGUGAAAUUCGUAGAUAUUGGGAAGAACACCGGUGGCGAAGGCGGCAACCUGGUCCAUGACUGACGCUGAGGCGCGAAAGCGUGGGGAGCAAACAGGAUUAGAUACCCCCGUAGUCCCUGUCUCUUAUAC